Molecule: ribosomal RNA, 622 nt
Filed under: uncultured bacterium
Lineage: Bacteria
Description: bacterial SSU rRNA
Rfam family: Bacterial small subunit ribosomal RNA
Source: RNAcentral
AGAGUUUGAUCCUGGCUCAGAAUUAACGCUGGCGGUGUGCCUAACACAUGCAAGUCGAGCGAGAAAGGUCUUCGGACUGAGUAAAGCGGCAAACGGGUGAGUAACGCGUGAGAAUCUACCUUUUAGUGAGGAAUACCUUCGAGAAAUUGAAGUUAAUACUGCAUAUGACCCUUCGGGGAGAAAGAUGGCCUCUUUGCUGUCGCUAAAAGAUGAGCUUGCGUACUAUUAGCUAGUUGGUGGGGUAAAGGCCUACCAAGGCGAUGACGGUUAGCCGGCCUGAGAGGGCGAACGGCCACACUGGAACUUAGACACGGUCCAGACUCCUACGGGAGGCAGCAGUGAGGAAUAUUGCGCAAUGGGCGAAAGCCUGACGCAGCGACACCGCGUGGAGGAUGAAGGCCUUCGGGUUGUAAACUUCUGUUAAGUGGGAAGAAAAGCGAGGUUCUAAUACAGCCUUGAAAUGACGGUACCACUAGAGAAAGCACCGGCUAACUUCGUGCCAGCAGCCGCGGUAAUACGAAGGGUGCAAGCGUUAUUCGGAAUGAUUGGGCGUAAAGGGUGCGCAGACGGUAUGUUAAGUCAACUGUUAAAUUUCCCGGCCUAACCGGGAGCAAGCAGUAGA